RNAcentral lists this non-coding RNA (148 nucleotides) under Nomascus leucogenys (northern white-cheeked gibbon). The record is from Rfam by way of RNAcentral. Lineage: Eukaryota; Metazoa; Chordata; Mammalia; Primates; Hylobatidae.
GCCGGGCACAGUGGUGUGUACCUGUAAUCCCAGCUACUCAGGAGGCUGAGGCAGGAGGAUCCCUUGAACCUGGGAGGUGGAGGUUGCAGUGAGCCGAGAUCAUGCCACUGCACUCCAGCCUGGGCAACAGAGGGAGACCCUGUCUCAA